RNAcentral lists this ribosomal RNA (406 nucleotides) under uncultured bacterium. Its description in RNAcentral is "partial 16S ribosomal RNA". It matches the Rfam family "Bacterial small subunit ribosomal RNA", at positions 30 to 526 of the family's 1533-position model. The record is from RNAcentral.
AUUGAACGCUGGCGGCAGGCCUAACACAUGCAAGUCGAGCGAGCGGCGGACGGGUGAGUAAUGUCUGGGAAACUGCCUUAUGGAGGGGGAUAACUACUGGAAACGGUAGCUAAUACCGCAUACCAUCAGAUGUGCCCAGAUGGGAUUAGCUAGUAGGUGGGGUAAAGGCUCACCUAGGCGAAGAUCCCUAGCGGGGCUGAGAGGAUGACCAGCCACACGGGAACUGAGACACGGUCCAGACUCAUUCGGGAGGCAGCAGUGGGGAAUAUUGCACAAUGGGCGCAAGCCUGAUGCAGCCAGGCCGCGUGUGUGAAGAAGGCCUUCGGGUUGUAAAGCACUUUCAGCGGGGAGGCGUUACCCGCAGAAGAAGCACCGUCUAACUCCGUGCCAGCAGCCGCGGUAAUUC